RNAcentral lists this ribosomal RNA (253 nucleotides) under uncultured bacterium. RNAcentral describes it as "partial 16S ribosomal RNA". It matches the Rfam family "Bacterial small subunit ribosomal RNA", at positions 524 to 776 of the family's 1533-position model. The record is from RNAcentral.
UACAGAGGGGGCAAGCGUUGUUCGGAAUUACUGGGCGUAAAGGGCGCGUAGGCGGCCUGUUAAGUCGGACGUGAAAUCCCUCGGCUCAACCGGGGAACUGCGUCCGAUACUGGCGGGCUUGAAUCCGGGAGAGGGAUGUGGAAUUCCAGGUGUAGCGGUGAAAUGCGUAGAUAUCUGGAGGAACACCGGUGGCGAAGGCGGCAUCCUGGACCGGCAUUGACGCUGAGGCGCGAAAGCCAGGGGAGCAAACGGG